Molecule: long non-coding RNA, 443 nt
Organism: Thunnus maccoyii (southern bluefin tuna)
Lineage: Eukaryota; Metazoa; Chordata; Actinopteri; Scombriformes; Scombridae
Exons: 3
Source: RefSeq, a predicted model, not a curated record
AAAUAUAUUAGUGUAAUUAUAUUCUUGUUAUUAUUACUCAUCAUAACUGGAGUCGUCCUGGGAUUUAUCCACAGAAAAAAACGUCCCAGAAGACAACUUGAAUCAACAACCAGUCUUCCGAACACGGAAGCAGAAGAAAUUGAGCCGUACAGCACCUUCAUGCAGAGAGAGAACGAGCUUUAUUCAACUAUUUUGUAUAGUAACUACUGAAAUACAAACCUCUAAUACUAGUUAUUUAAAUGUGUUCACCGGAGUGGAGAUGAAGUUAGAGAUGCCUUUGUAGGGCUUUAAUUAUACAAUAUACAGUAUAAUGUGAUACAUGUUUUCCUGUUGAAUAAUAAGUGAAACAAAGCCUGAUGUCCACAAGGUGGCACUAUUUUACAUACAUUGGUAUUUCACUCUCCUGUAAGACUGAUCCUUAACGUGUAUUUCAUUCUAAAACA